GAUGAAGAACGCAGCGAAUUGCGAUAUGUAAUGUGAAUUGCAGAAUUCAGUGAAUCAUCGAAUCUUUGAACGCACAUUGCGCCCGCCAGUAUUCUGGCGGGCAUGCCUGUCUGAGCGUCAUUUCAACCCUCAUGCCCCUAGGGCGUGGUGUUGGGGAUCGGCCAAAGCCCGCGAGGGACGGCCGGCCCCUAAAUCUAGUGGCGGACCCGUCGUGGCCUCCUCUGCGAAGUAGUGAUAUUCCGCAUCGGAGAGCGAUGAGCCCCUGCCGUUAAACCCCCAACUUUCCAAGGUUGACCUCAGAUCAGGUAGGAAUACCCGCUGAACUUAAGCAUAUCAAUAAGCGGAGGA
This 348-nucleotide unclassified non-coding RNA is filed under the name soil metagenome. RNAcentral describes it as "partial contains 5.8S ribosomal RNA, internal transcribed spacer 2, and large subunit ribosomal RNA". The stretch from base 1 to 120 matches the Rfam family "5.8S ribosomal RNA", at positions 35 to 154 of the family's 154-position model. The record is from RNAcentral.